Molecule: ribosomal RNA, 99 nt
Filed under: Pteropus alecto (black flying fox)
Lineage: Eukaryota; Metazoa; Chordata; Mammalia; Chiroptera; Pteropodidae
Source: RNAcentral
GUCUAUGACCACGCUACCCUGAGCUCGGAAGCUAAGCAGGGUCGGACCUGGUUAGUACUUGGAUGGGAGACCACCUAGGAAGACCAGGUGCUGUAGGCG